UACGAAGGGGCUAGCGUUGCUCGGAAUCACUGGGCGUAAAGGGUGCGUAGGCGGGUCUUUAAGUCAGGGGUGAAAUCCUGGAGCUCAACUCCAGAACUGCCUUUGAUACUGAAGAUCUUGAGUUCGGGAGAGGUGAGUGGAACUGCGAGUGUAGAGGUGAAAUUCGUAGAUAUUCGCAAGAACACCAGUGGCGAAGGCGGCUGUCUGGUCCGGUUCUGACGCUGAGGCGCGAAAGCGUGGGGAGCAAACAGG
Molecule: ribosomal RNA, 252 nt
Filed under: uncultured bacterium
Lineage: Bacteria
Description: partial 16S ribosomal RNA
Rfam family: Bacterial small subunit ribosomal RNA
Source: RNAcentral